This is a long non-coding RNA of Silurus meridionalis, 4347 nucleotides long. RefSeq lists it as uncharacterized. The transcript is spliced from 3 exons. The record is from RefSeq and is a predicted model, not a curated record. Lineage: Eukaryota; Metazoa; Chordata; Actinopteri; Siluriformes; Siluridae.
CAUGAAAACAUCACACAUUGAGGUGAGAUGUCUUGCCCUCUUCUUCCUGAAUUGCAAGUUUCAGUAGUAUGUGUGAAAGCUUGCACAACCUCAUCAAUGUUCCAGACACAUCCUAAUUUCUAUACAAGCUAUUUUAUUUUAUUUACAAUUUAUAAGUCAUUGUUUACAUUCACACCGAACUUUGUAGUUUUUCAGGUGGUAACCGACUAAAUGUUUGGAAUUUUUAAGUUGUUACCGUUAAGUUUAAGAUGUUUGCACUUUUUAAAUACAUUUAUGAAAGGAAAAUAUUCUUGAAAUAUUUUCAUGUUUUUUUCCCUUUGUUUGAUUAGGAAUCCUGCAAGUAUCGGUGUUUUCACUUUUGUGGUUUGUGACUAUUUGGUAAUAGUCAGGAUAAGAUUUUUUUUAUUUUUUUAUUUUUUUAUUAAUGCUUGUUUUUGACACCUCUCAAGACUGUAUACUGAUUGACUGACUGUGUUAUAUAUUAUAUUGACAUAUAUUUGUUUAUAAGGUAUUACUGGAAAGGGGAGAUUCAAGAUUCUUCCGAAAUCCUGCUGCUGGUGAGGACUAGAACUUCUAUGAUUCCUCGACUCACUGAUUUAAUAAAAACCGUACAUCCAUACCAAACUCCAGAAAUCCUCAGUUUACCCAUUCAAGAUGGAAGUCUUUCCUACAUGAAAUGGAUAGAUGAUGCAGUUCCAAAUGUAUGACCCAUAUCAUCGCCCUGUUGUCAAAUGAAAGCGCGUUCCUAUUGGCUACAGAACAUUUAUAUAUUAUUUUUUAUAGAUGGUGCUAUUUCAUGGGAUAUUUGUCAAGGGGACAUGGACUGGUUAUAUUUCAAUGAUGAAUAAAAACUAGGGCUGUCAAAACACGUUAAUGCUUAUUAACUUAAACAGAAAUUCUUGACCAUUUUUCUUAAAAAUAUUAAUAAAUAAGUAUAAAAGAGGCGAAAUUAAAACCUUCAACGUAACACACAUUUAUUCCUGACAUCCUUUCUUUACUCAGAUAUAAAAAAAAAGCAUAAAAAUCUUUUUUGGCUGUUCACAUUCUUAGUAGAACAUUGCUAUUUACUAUGUUAAUUGCUCAUAGACUUAUAUUCCUAUUCCCAAACCAAAAUCCGCCAUUAUGCACACGUCCAGCAUUUAAAACAAUCCAAGUGAAAAACAACCCAAAUUCCCGUUUGCUCUCCUGAUGAUUUACGUAUUUUAAAACACCAUAUUUACAAGAAUAUUUUGUCUUCAUGCUCUGUGUUGCGUCAGGUUUCACUAAUAAUAAACAUACAUUUGCAUAAAGCAUCCAUAUUUCUUUAUGCCCAUGUUGAUUAGAGUAAUAAAAACUUAAGAAGUAUUAAUUUAACGUACGUUUAAAACAGUUUAAAAAAUAGUGAGAUCAAGUAGCGAUUUGUCACGAGUCAACUCAUGACGAUCAUGCGAUUAAUCGCGAUUAAAUAUUUGUAUCUAUUGACAGCCCUAAUUAAAACAUCACCAAAUGGAUGCAGAUUAGUGCUGAUAUUUGUAAGAUAACAGGUUUAAAUGUUCACAUUUUCAGCUGCCCAGUGGCUUGGCAUGAACAGCCAUUUGAAAGGACAUGUCUUAAAGGAAGACAGGUCAGGACAUUUUUGGAUUUCUGUAUGUAGAGUAUCAUGAACUUUGAUUAGCUGCUGGUCAGGUGGGGUUUAAAAAAAAAAAGAGUUAAAUGGCACAUGAUCUUACUGAGACUGUUUUUUGCUUCAAUCACCAAAGUUUAUAUGAACAAAAUACACUUGCCUUUGCUCAAAGUGACCUUGUAACAAUAUGACAUCAGUGUGUGAUCAGUCGUUUUUUUUACACUGAAUUAACAAAACACAUACUGAGAAACACUUAUAAUGUAACUAACUUCCCACUUUAUUCAGCUAUAGUUAUCUUGACAAGAGUUUUGAUAGAGAACAAAUAAAUGUCCAGCAAAAAUAGCGAUAAAACUUCCCUACUUUAGUCCUUAUAUGAACUUUAUCUCUGCAAACAUGCUAGGAGAUUUUCAGAGAGUGCAUAACAGCUUGUGACUAUAAUCAAAGAUACAUGGUUAGGCCAACACUUUUAUAGGCUAAUAGCUGAGUGGCAAUGUUCUUGCUAUUAUGCUGUGUAAAAAGAGGGUUACUUAUGAACAGAUCCAUGAAGUUAGAGAGCAGGGUUUAACUUACUGUAAGCACCAUGAACCAUGUCUCCUACAAUAACAUAGGACUACAGUCCAUAUAAAAUGUUUUUGCAUCCAUGCAUUAUUCAGUGAAUAGUGUUUCAGCGUUUCAUGCAUAUUCUUGCAACCACAGGGUUGCAGUUCAAAAGGUUCAGCUUGUGCCCCCAGCCAGGAACCUUGUGAAAUAACCACAUGUCUUGCACACUUUGCAACCUCAUGGUGAACAGAAAGAGAAGUUCCUGAGACAGGUUGCACAGAAAAAUGCUACCAUGAAACCAACUAUAUAAGUAUAGGAAUUCUGAUGAGUAAAUCGCAGAGAUGUAAAUAUUUUUAUGCAUUUCAGUCUUCAGUUCUGCUGAAGGUACAAUGAUUAGAGCAGUGGAUUCUGCUGAACGUGUUUCCAGAAAGACGGUGGUCUUUUUAAGCCCUUUCCUUUGUAAUUGAGUCAUAUUAGGGGUCAAUGCAAUGUGCCUGUUUAUGGACUCAUCACUCAGGAACAUCUCUGCUUUUGAGGACCGAUAUUCCACUAUCGUCUUUGCUUGGGCAGAGGGUUUAGACAAACAUCUAUGGUCAUACUUCUGAUCAGUGUAGACAAUAGGAUGCACCACGGGGUAGCUUGAUUCAAUGGGGCUGAAUGUCACCCUGCAGAUAUUAUAGUGCCUUAACAGCUAAGAAGUCUCCUAUGAGUGGCUCCAGUUGCUUUUUAUAAAGCAUGGGAUUUAUAAAUGUUCAUAUUUAUUUGUGAAUAAUUGUUAAUCAUUGUACUAAACUGAUUUACUAUCUUUCUGUUUCCUUUAUUUUCUGUCGUUUUUUUUUCUGUUGUAUUACUAUAAGUUCCUAAUGGCAAGAUAUUGCACACACGUUAAUCCUCGGACUGUAGCAAAACAUCUUUUAUGUAAUACAAAUCUGCAUACUUUGUAUUUAAACAUACCAAAGUUUCUGGCUUGUAUGACACGAUACAAAAAUACAUCAGAUUUACAUUUAGAUUUACAUUUGCGGCAUUUAGCAAACGCCUUUGUCUAGAGCGACGUACAAAAGUGCUUUGAGUCUCUAGCAAUGAAUAAAUCUACACUGGUAUGAUUACAAAUUUAAGAUAAAUCAGACUACAACAAUCUUGGAAAGUGCUAAUUUAAGUGUUUUAGGAAGAGGACAGUUAGCAACUGUCAGAUAUAGAACACAGUUGAAAUGACCAUGAGCAAUAUACUUACUUAGCAAUAUACUGUACAGGCUGGAAACUGGUACUGUAUGUCUAACCAUAUUGUCAAUUACAGGAAAAUAUGUGUUGAAUAUAAUGUGUAAUAUGUGAACACGACUGCAUACAAAUGCUGUUCAUCCUGUGUCUUUUUGUUAACGUUAUUAUAACUAUUCUGUUCUGUUGGUCUCUUCUGAAUUUCUUGCAUCAUCAGGUCACCUGACAUUAGGGUGUUGUGGUCUAGCAGUCUUUGGGAAACCUGGUAGUGAUACAAGUGAAAUCUUGUUUAGCCGCUAGUCAGCUCGGCCUCACGGCAUUUUGAGAUUGUAGUCACAACGUGUUCUCUAUUGAUUCGUGCUCAUAGACACGAAUUUCUCUCGCUUUCUGUUUUUGGCGUCUCCGCCAAAGUUUUCUUUCUGCCCCUGAAUCCCACAGACGCAGUAUUGUUUUUGUUUCCCAUUUUUUAUUGAUUUUUUUUUUAUAAACUUUAUGCACCAUUACUCAACAUUUAAGCAGGAGAUUUUAUCCUUGUUUUUAUUGCUUUAUAUUCAGUAAGCUCCAGUCAAAAUACAGUAAAUAGAUUCUCCCGGUUGAUUAAGAAGACUGUGCUAAAUAGAGACACACAAUUAUUACAGUACAACCCACACCCUUACCCUAACCGUAUAUAUUCCGACUUAUUCUCUGAUAAAAGUAGGGGGAAAAAAAAAUACCUUUUAUUUACCCAUAAGCCUUUGGCGUCGCUUUCGGAGACGGAGCCAGACGAAGGCGGCCGUGCUGAGUGACAUGAAAGAAGAGGGAAAUCCGUGUCCAUGAAGACGAAUCAAUAGAUUGAAGUUCAGCGCUGUAUCACCAAAAAUCAUGAGACUGUGUUGGCUAGUGUGUGCCUGCAACAAAAUAUCUCCAGAAAAGAUAUAGUGCAAUUGUUGCUAAUUAUUUUGUCUCCUGUUUUCCUGAAUUUAAACAAUAAAUAUACACACUCAGCUCCACAA